RNAcentral lists this long non-coding RNA (641 nucleotides) under Ananas comosus (pineapple). Its description in RNAcentral is "long non-coding RNA (ACOM_LNC010776)". The record is from RNAcentral. Lineage: Eukaryota; Viridiplantae; Streptophyta; Magnoliopsida; Poales; Bromeliaceae.
UCUAUAACAUUAUUUUUAUAGAUUGUCAAUCAAAAAUCUAUAAGCUAUUAAUACAACAACAAUAUAUAAAGAUAGUAUUACAGGAAGAACAAAUUAUCUCCACAAUUCUAAAAAAAGUUAAAUCAGAGACUCUCACAUAGGAGUGGCAAUCCAGCUCGCUGUUCGCGAGCCAGCUCGUAUUUUGCUCGAAAUGAGCUCGAGAUCGAAUCGUUCAUUUAGUAAACGAGCCAAACACGAGUUGAAUUUUUCAGUUCGUUUAAUAAACGAGUCGAACACGAGUUGAGGUCAGCUUAUUCGUGUUCGGCUCGAUAACAGCUCGAAUACAUAUAUUUUAUAUUUAUAUAUAUAAAUAAAUAAUUAUAUAUAUAAUAUAUAUUUUUAUUAUUUUAUUUUUAGCAAAAUUAAAAUAUAAAGCCGAGCUUAAUUAUAAAAAGACUCAUUUAUUUAUAAAGUUUCAACAAUUUGAUCAAAGUCUAAUGGGUAACACUUUAUAAAUUUAAUUUUUAUAUAUAUCAAAUCUAUUUUUUUAACUUAUUAUUCGUUAGUCAGCUCGUGAGUCGGCUCAUAUUCGACGAACACGAACUGAAUUUUUCAGUUCGAUAUUUUAACCGGCCAGUUCGUAUUCAGCAAGCACAAGCCGG